CCUACGGGAGGCAGCAGUGAGGAAUAUUGGUCAAUGGACGAGAGUCUGAACCAGCCAAGUAGCGUGAAGGAUGACUGCCCUAUGGGUUGUAAACUUCUUUUAUAUGGGAAUAAAAUGUUCCACGUGUGGGAUUUUGUAUGUACCAUAUGAAUAAGGAUCGGCUAACUCCGUGCCAGCAGCCGCGUUAAUACGGAGGAUCCGAGCGUUAUCCGGCUUUAUUGGGUUUAAAGGGAGCGUAGGUGGAUUGUUAAGUCAGUUGUGAAAGUUUGCGGCUCAACCGUAAAAUUGCAGUUGAAACUGGCAGUCUUGAGUACAGUAGAGGUGGGCGGAAUUAGUGGUGUAGCGGUGAAAUGCUUAGAUAUCACGAAGAACUCCGAUUGCGAAGGCAGUUCACUGGACUGCAACUGACACUGAGGCUCGAAAGUGUGGGUAUCAAACAGGAUUAGAUACCCUUGUAGUC
This 460-nucleotide ribosomal RNA is filed under the name uncultured bacterium. RNAcentral's name for it is "partial 16S ribosomal RNA". It matches the Rfam family "Bacterial small subunit ribosomal RNA", at positions 338 to 795 of the family's 1533-position model. The record is from RNAcentral.